GUGAUAUGAACCGUUAUAACCGGCGAUACCCGAAUGGGGAAACCCAGUGUGACUCGUCACACUAUCAUUAACUGAAUCCAUAGGUUAAUGAGGCGAACCGGGGGAACUGAAACAUCUAAGUACCCCGAGGAAAAGAAAUCAACCGAGAUUCCCCCAGUAGCGGCGAGCGAACGGGGAGGAGCCCAGAGCCUGAAUCAGCAUGUGUGUUAGUGGAAGCGUCUGGAAAGGCGCGCGAUACAGGGUGACAGCCCCGUACACAAAAGCGCAUGUGCUGUGAGCUCGAUGAGUAGGGCGGGACACGUGGUAUCCUGUCUGAAUAUGGGGGGACCAUCCUCCAAGGCUAAAUACUCCUGACUGACCGAUAGUGAACCAGUACCGUGAGGGAAAGGCGAAAAGAACCCCGGCGAGGGGAGUGAAAAAGAACCUGAAACCGUGUACGUAC
Molecule: ribosomal RNA, 442 nt
Filed under: Salmonella enterica subsp. enterica serovar Agona
Lineage: Bacteria; Pseudomonadati; Pseudomonadota; Gammaproteobacteria; Enterobacterales; Enterobacteriaceae
Description: partial 23S ribosomal RNA
Rfam family: Bacterial large subunit ribosomal RNA
Source: RNAcentral